CGGCAAUGGGCGCAAUCCUGACCGAGCGACGCCGCGUGGAGGACGAAGGCCUUCGGGUUGUAAACUCCUGUCGAGGGGGAGGAAGGGGGCAACCUUGACCGAUCCCUGGAGGAAGCACGGGCUAAGUUCGUGCCAGCAGCCGCGGUAAGACGAACCGUGCGAACGUUAUUCGGAAUCACUGGGCUUAAAGCGCGUGUAGGCGGGCCGCCCCGUCGGCUGCUGAAAUCCCCCGGCUCAACCGGGGAAGUGGCACCGAUACGAGCGGCCUCGAGGGGGUAGGGGGGUCUGGAACUUCCGGUGGAGCGGUGAAAUGCGUUGAGAUCGGAAGGAACGCCCGUGGCGAAAGCGAGGCCCUGGACCCUUACUGACGGCUGAGACGCGAGAGCCAGGGGAGCGAACGGGAUUAGAUACCCGUGUAGU
RNAcentral lists this ribosomal RNA (420 nucleotides) under uncultured organism. RNAcentral describes it as "bacterial SSU rRNA". It matches the Rfam family "Bacterial small subunit ribosomal RNA", at positions 366 to 794 of the family's 1533-position model. The record is from RNAcentral.